This 481-nucleotide ribosomal RNA is filed under the name uncultured bacterium. Its description in RNAcentral is "partial 16S ribosomal RNA". It matches the Rfam family "Bacterial small subunit ribosomal RNA", at positions 28 to 507 of the family's 1533-position model. The record is from RNAcentral.
GAUGAACGCUGGCGGCGUGCUUAACACAUGCAAGUCGAACGAAGCAUUUAGGACAGAUUGCUUCGGCUGGAAGUUCUUUAUGACUGAGUGGCGGACGGAUGAGUAACGCGUUGUUAACCUGCCUUGUACUGGGGGAUAGCAGCUGGAAACGGCUGGUAAUACCGCAUAAGCGCACAAUGUUGCAUGACCUUGUGGCAAAAACUCCGGUGGUAUAAGAUGGACCGGCGUCUGGUUAGCUAGUUGGUGAGAGGACAGCCCACCAAGGCGACGAUCAGCAGACGACAAGAGAGGGAGACCGGCGACAUUGAGACUGAGACACGGCGCAGACUAUUACGCGAAGCAGCAAUGCCGAAUAUUGCAAAAUGGCGUAAAUUCUGAAGCCGUGAGGGUGGGUGAGUGAAGAAGUAAUUCGUUAAGUACAGCUCGAUAAGAAGGGGAGAUAGUGACGGUACCUAAAUAAGAAGCUCCGGCUAAAUACGUG